Molecule: ribosomal RNA, 442 nt
Filed under: uncultured bacterium
Lineage: Bacteria
Description: partial 16S ribosomal RNA
Rfam family: Bacterial small subunit ribosomal RNA
Source: RNAcentral
CCUACGGGAGGCAGCAGUCGAGAAUAUUUCACAAUGGGGGCAAGCCUGAUGGUGCGACGCCGCGUGAGGGAAUGAAGCUUUUGGGUUUGAAACUUCUUGUACUGGGGGAGCACAGUAGACAGUACGCUGAACACAAGCCACGGCUAACUACGUGCCAGCAACCGCGGUAAUACGUAGGUGGCAAGCGUUGUCCGGAUUUACUGGGUGGAAAGGGCGUGUAGCCGGGAAGGUAAGUCAGAUGUGAAAUCCGGAGGCUCAACCCCCGAAUUGCACGUGAAACUGUUUAUCUUGAGUAAUGGAGAGGCAAACGGAAUUCCUGGUGUAGCAGUGAAAUGCGUAGAUAUAAGGAGGAACACUAGUGGCGAAGGCGGUCUGCUGGACAGCAACUGACGGUGAGGCGCGAAAGCGAGGGGAGCAAAAAGGAUUAGAUACCCCAGUAGUC